GACGAACGCUGGCGGCGUGCUUAACACAUGCAAGUCGAACGGAAAGGCCCUGCUUUUGUGGGGUGCUCGAGUGGCGAGCGGGUGAGUAACACGUGAGUAACCUGCCCUUGACUUUGGGAUAACUUCAGGAAACUGGGGCUAAUACCGGAUAGGAGCUCCUGCUGCAUGGUGGGGGUUGGAAAGUUUCGGCGGUUGGGGAUGGACUCGCGGCUUAUCAGCUUGUUGGUGGGGUAGUGGCUUACCAAGGCUUUGACGGGUAGCCGGCCUGAGAGGGUGACCGGCCACAUUGGGACUGAGAUACGGCCCAGACUCCUACGGGAGGCAGCAGUGGGGAAUAUUGCACAAUGGGCGGAAGCCUGAUGCAGCAACGCCGCGUGCGGGAUGACGGCCUUCGGGUUGUAAACCGCUUUCGCCUGUGACGAAGCGUGAGUGACGGUAAUGGGUAAAGAAGCACCGGCUAACUACGUGCCGGCAGCCGCGGUGAUACGUAGGGUGCGAGCGUUGUCCGGAUUUAUUGGGCGUAAAGGGCUCGUAGGUGGUUGAUCGCGUCGGAAGUGUAAUCUUGGGGCUUAACCCUGAGCGUGCUUUCGAUACGGGUUGACUUGAGGAAGGUAGGGGAGAAUGGAAUUCCUGGUGGAGCGGUGGAAUGCGCAGAUAUCAGGAGGAACACCAGUGGCGAAGGCGGUUCUCUGGGCCUUUCCUGACGCUGAGGAGCGAAAGCGUGGGGAGCGAACAGGCUUAGAUACCCUGGUAGUCCACGCUGUAAACGGUGGGUACUAGGUGUGGGGUCCAUUCCACGGGUUCCGUGCCGUAGCUAACGCUUUAAGUACCCCGCCUGGGGAGUACGGCCGCAAGGCUAAAACUCAAAGGAAUUGACGGGGCCCCGCACAAGCGGCGGAGCAUGCGGAUUAAUUCGAUGCAACGCGUAGAACCUUACCUGGGUUUGACAUGGAUCGGGAGUGCUCAGAGAUGGGUGUGCCUCUUUUGGGGUCGGUUCACAGGUGGUGCAUGGCUGUCGUCAGCUCGUGUCGUGAGAUGUUGGGUUAAGUCCCGCAACGAGCGCAACCCUUGUUCACUGUUGCCAGCACGUUAUGGUGGGGACUCAGUGGAGACCGCCGGGGUCAACUCGGAGGAAGGUGGGGAUGACGUCAAGUCAUCAUGCCCCUUAUGUCCAGGGCUUCACGCAUGCUACAAUGGCUGGUACAGAGAGUGGCGAGCCUGUGAGGGUGAGCGAAUCUCGGAAAGCCGGUCUCAGUUCGGAUUGGGGUCUGCAACUCGACCUCAUGAAGUCGGAGUCGCUAGUAAUCGCAGAUCAGCAACGCUGCGGUGAAAACGUUCCCGGGGCU
RNAcentral lists this ribosomal RNA (1346 nucleotides) under uncultured bacterium. RNAcentral describes it as "partial 16S ribosomal RNA". It matches the Rfam family "Bacterial small subunit ribosomal RNA", at positions 28 to 1381 of the family's 1533-position model. The record is from RNAcentral.